This 581-nucleotide ribosomal RNA is filed under the name uncultured Bacillus sp. RNAcentral's name for it is "bacterial SSU rRNA". It matches the Rfam family "Bacterial small subunit ribosomal RNA", at positions 346 to 917 of the family's 1533-position model. Lineage: Bacteria; Bacillati; Bacillota; Bacilli; Caryophanales; Bacillaceae. The record is from RNAcentral.
UGGCAGCAGUAGGGAAUCUUCCGCAAUGGACGAAAGUCUGACGGAGCAACGCCGCGUGAGUGAUGAAGGCUUUCGGGUCGUAAAACUCUGUUGUUAGGGAAGAACAAGUGCUAGUUGAAUAAGCUGGCACCUUGACGGUACCUAACCAGAAAGCCACGGCUAACUACGUGCCAGCAGCCGCGGUAAUACGUAGGUGGCAAGCGUUAUCCGGAAUUAUUGGGCGUAAAGCGCGCGCAGGUGGUUUCUUAAGUCUGAUGUGAAAGCCCACGGCUCAACCGUGGAGGGUCAUUGGAAACUGGGAGACUUGAGUGCAGAAGAGGAAAGUGGAAUUCCAUGUGUAGCGGUGAAAUGCGUAGAGAUAUGGAGGAACACCAGUGGCGAAGGCGACUUUCUGGUCUGUAACUGACACUGAGGCGCGAAAGCGUGGGGAGCAAACAGGAUUAGAUACCCUGGUAGUCCACGCCGUAAACGAUGAGUGCUAAGUGUUAGAGGGUUUCCGCCCUUUAGUGCUGGAGUUAACGCAUUAAGCACUCCGCCUGGGGUGUACGGUCGCAAGGCUAAAACUCAAAGGAAUUGACGGA